RNAcentral lists this ribosomal RNA (517 nucleotides) under Staphylococcus sp. Its description in RNAcentral is "bacterial SSU rRNA". It matches the Rfam family "Bacterial small subunit ribosomal RNA", at positions 443 to 951 of the family's 1533-position model. The record is from RNAcentral. Lineage: Bacteria; Bacillati; Bacillota; Bacilli; Caryophanales; Staphylococcaceae.
GGAAGAACAUACGUGUAAGUAACUGUGCACGUCUUGACGGUACCUAAUCAGAAAGCCACGGCUAACUACGUGCCAGCAGCCGCGGUAAUACGUAGGUGGCAAGCGUUAUCCGGAAUUAUUGGGCGUAAAGCGCGCGUAGGCGGUUUUUUAAGUCUGAUGUGAAAGCCCACGGCUCAACCGUGGAGGGUCAUUGGAAACUGGAAAACUUGAGUGCAGAAGAGGAAAGUGGAAUUCCAUGUGUAGCGGUGAAAUGCGCAGAGAUAUGGAGGAACACCAGUGGCGAAGGCGACUUUCUGGUCUGCAACUGACGCUGAUGUGCGAAAGCGUGGGGAUCAAACAGGAUUAGAUACCCUGGUAGUCCACGCCGUAAACGAUGAGUGCUAAGUGUUAGGGGGUUUCCGCCCCUUAGUGCUGCAGCUAACGCAUUAAGCACUCCGCCUGGGGAGUACGACCGCAAGGUUGAAACUCAAAGGAAUUGACGGGGACCCGCACAAGCGGUGGAGCAUGUGGUUUAAUU